AAUUGAUGGACACUUUCGAUUAUUGUCUCUUUUCGUAGAAAACCUUGUGACCAACAAUGCACAAGCUUCCAAUUGUUACAAGGGUGCAUUUGAAACUUAUUGCUAUUCAUAAUUUCAUAGGUCUUUAGGUCUUAUCUAUUCUAAUAUUUAAUAGCAGGGAGGUUGGAGAGCCACGUGGGCCCCUCCUAGAAUUUUAAUAUUUUAAUACAUUUUUUAUUUUAGAAAAGAAAAAGGAAACGCUUGCGACAAAGAAACCGGAAAAAAAAAUCCAACCGUCACUUUCUUCUCCAAUUCUCUCCUCUAACCUUCAUAUUGCAUCAAUUCAUCAAAUCAAGGCUCAAACAGCGAUUAUUUUCAAGCUUAAAACAUCAAUUCAUCAAUUCGAUCGUCGAUUAUCUGCAUCAACACCUAUCUCAAAUUACGAGUAUAAUUUCAAAAAAAAAAAAUCUGCUUGGAUUUCGUCGCGUCGCUUCGCUUCUUCUCCGCCAUUCUCGCUCCUCUGACAUCGCUGCUCAUCACCAACCAUGGCGUUCUGUUGGAAUCAUCUCCAUAGAUGUUCGACUUCUAUUUCGAUGGUGAUGUUAAUUCGAGAUUACUGGUAUUCCUCGCUAUCAUGCAUUGUAAACCAAUUUGCGGCAUUUUGCCUCAAAAUGAAACUACCAGUUGGGAUCUUCAAGUGGAACAAAAAUUUACAGGAACUUGAAUAUUGCAGAAGUCGGGUAUUUCAAAAAGGCGGAACUUAUUCCUGAAGUUACACAAUUUCAAAUACCACAGCCAGAAAGCCAAAAUGGAGAUAAUGAGCAAAAAUAGCAAAAGCAUAAAAGAACUCCAACAAAUUAUUUGGAACAAGAAGAUAACCAGAUUAAAGGAAAAAGAAUAAGAGUCAUCAAGAACAUGGCAAAGGAAUAGGCUCGUGGGUGUGGAAUGCAGGACAUCAACACCACAAGGAUAAAAUAUUUUUGUUUCUUAUAUAUUAGGUGUUGUAAACACAUUGGAUAUAUUACUUUUUAGAUUGUAACUAAUCAAUUUGAUUUUAUCUAUUAGUUUGGUAUAACUUCAAAACAAUGUAAUUUUAAAAAUUUAUUUCUGUAUUGUACAAAGGAUUUAGCUUCCAUGUAACUAUUAGACAUAAUAAA
Molecule: long non-coding RNA, 1136 nt
Organism: Spinacia oleracea (spinach)
Lineage: Eukaryota; Viridiplantae; Streptophyta; Magnoliopsida; Caryophyllales; Amaranthaceae
Exons: 5
Source: RefSeq, a predicted model, not a curated record